This 485-nucleotide long non-coding RNA is filed under the name Cricetulus griseus (Chinese hamster). Its description in RNAcentral is "lncRNA (ENSCGRG00000026334.1)". The record is from RNAcentral. Lineage: Eukaryota; Metazoa; Chordata; Mammalia; Rodentia; Cricetidae.
GUUUACUUGCUACAUGCAGUGAUUCAACUAAGUCACGAAGGGACUGGGUGCCAGAAUCCAGACAGCCCUAUGAUGUAAGGAGCUUGUCCUCAUAGCAGGCACAAGCAGCUGCCCAGAGAAAAAUGGUGAAGUAUCAUGUAUUCUCUCUCCAAGCUGCUGAUGCCGUAACCCACAGAGUCCCCAGCCUUCAGAAGACACCCCCCCCCAUUCAGAUGGCUGUAAACUGUCCUGCAAAUGGGGGUCAAUUGCUCCUGGAGGCUGAGAUUAGGAGGUUGAGAAGCCCAGAUCACAUGGAGCAGCCUAAAUCAAGUCUUUCUCCAUCAUGGGAGGACCCAGGUAGGUCUUCUGCUCUCUGCUCUUAGAGCCAUGGAUGUCUUCUGUCUUGAAAAAGAACCCAAAGGACCAGGCCUGUCUCUAUAUCAUCUCAUCCUUGGCAGGACCACUGGACAAGCAGACUGUCUGUUGUAGCUGGAGAUAAAUCUUUU